GGAAUGGGUGUAGCUCAGUAGAAAAGAACCUGCUUUGCAUGCAGAAGGCGCUAGGGUUCAACCCCUGGCAUCUCCA
This is a non-coding RNA of Podarcis lilfordi (Lilford's wall lizard), 76 nucleotides long. The record is from the annotation of a GenBank genome assembly. Lineage: Eukaryota; Metazoa; Chordata; Lepidosauria; Squamata; Lacertidae.